AGGGCCUUCUGCCAAGGGCCCGCUUUGAUCUCCCUUAAAGGACAGCAUUAUCUGACCAGAGGUAAAUUGUAACCACUGAAAGUCCGCUGUUUCGAUUCUGGGCAAGAUGCUAUGGCAGAACAGGGACCAUGAUGAACUACUUAGAAAAAUACAUAAGGCCAUAAAUAAUGUGUGAUUAUUUGAUGAAUGCCUGUCUCUCCCACUGGGACCAUCAGCUUAGAAAAGAAAUGAUGUGGAUGUGCUCACCAAGUUAUUUGCAGAGCUUAGCAGAGUGGGAUAGAAGAGACCCAUGCAGGAGACCUCUCCAGGUACACAUAUUUCCUGCUACUGAAUGGCUUAGACUGGGAUUUGCAAGGAACUACGAAGUCCAAGACCUUUGCCUUUCUUUUAGAAGAAGGCACCAGCUGGUUCUCCAAUGUUGAAGGUCUUCUCCAGAGAUACCUUAAGGUGUGGGGAGAUUACAACUUGCUCAAGGUCUCAUAGCUAGAAGAUGUCAGAGUGAUAACUCAAACCAUGUCACAUGACUCUAAGCCCAAAGCAGCCUCUAGAAGGUUGUUUGAUCUUCUGAUGGAAGCACAAAUCACCAUUCCAACAUGAAAGAUGGAGAAACUUAAGUCUAGAGAGAUUUAAAGGACUUGUCAAAGGCAAUGAAACAAGUGGAACUCUGAAAGCCACAUGUUGAGAUGGCCCCAUUACAGGAUGGAGAGCACCUGAACCCCCAAGUUAUGGACUAGAAGAAGACAGUUGCCCUGGAAAAUCAUCUGACCCACAUUGGACUUUAUGUGAGGGGGAAAUAAACCUUUAUUAUGUUAAGCUACACAAUAAUAAAUAACAACAAUAA
RNAcentral lists this long non-coding RNA (841 nucleotides) under Homo sapiens (human). RNAcentral's name for it is "long intergenic non-protein coding RNA 511". The record is from RNAcentral. Lineage: Eukaryota; Metazoa; Chordata; Mammalia; Primates; Hominidae.